Molecule: long non-coding RNA, 676 nt
Organism: Bubalus bubalis (water buffalo)
Lineage: Eukaryota; Metazoa; Chordata; Mammalia; Artiodactyla; Bovidae
Exons: 3
Source: RefSeq, a predicted model, not a curated record
AAUUCUGCUUUUGUCUAAACUUUUUCCCUAACCGCUACCUUCAAGGCCGAUUCUUUUUCAUGCUGUUGUCUCUUCACAAGUCCCUCACCAAUACUCUUCAUUGCCGUCGCUUAUCCGUCAUCCUUUUCUCAAUUCAAUAUUUCUCUAGGAGUCGCUGUCUCUGCUGCUUCUAACCCCCCGGCCUCCAAAUAUGCAGGGAUGGCGACUGAAUAAGAAGCCCGGUUUCCGCAAAAGCCAAAUCGCAACGGGUGGAAUUUGGAACGGAAGAACCUCGGGUGUCACGUGACUGGCGCAGGUCACCUCCCCGACACGGGACAGGGCAACGUCACUAUGAAGGCAUGGCCUGCGGGGCGGAAGGGCCGGCCUGAGGAGACUUGAGGCCUGAAUGCCAACUGAAGGAUUUGCCACCCUCGUACACUUGUAAAGUCUCUCUAUAUUAUGAAUAAUCUGAUGAUGGGAAUGAUCAGCCUAUUACUGAAGCUCUGACCACACACAUUAUAUUUAUGAUUCCCUCCAAUCUAGACUGGAGGGAUUGACUGCACUCUAAAUGUAUGGCUUCUCACCAGCAUGAAUUUUGUAAAAACCAAAUGGCUUCCGAAACACAUAACACAGGCACUAGGAACUGCCUGAUGCGGAGUUAAGGAUGACUGUGCAAUAAAACGUUUGUCACAAUUGU